Molecule: non-coding RNA, 216 nt
Organism: Nomia melanderi (Alkali bee)
Lineage: Eukaryota; Metazoa; Arthropoda; Insecta; Hymenoptera; Halictidae
Source: RefSeq, a predicted model, not a curated record
AACGAAGAGGGGAAAGUAAGUAAGUAUGGAGGGGGUAACUCUCAAUGAUGAGUCUGUGAGAAGAGAAUUCCACGGUGCCUCGUGAAGCACCAGUUUGACACGUUUCAUUUCAACUAAUUCUAUUAUGGCGCAAUUUUUUCUUCAAAACAGAGGAUAAUGAUAUAAAUUAAAUAAAAAAUACAUAUAACUAUUGGAGUAUAAUUUAGUCAUAUGCUU